This 479-nucleotide ribosomal RNA is filed under the name uncultured bacterium. RNAcentral's name for it is "partial 16S ribosomal RNA". It matches the Rfam family "Bacterial small subunit ribosomal RNA", at positions 28 to 507 of the family's 1533-position model. The record is from RNAcentral.
GAUGAACGCUGGCGGCGUGCUUAACACAUGCAAGUCGAGCGAGAAGUUUUGAAAAGAUUCUUCGGAUGAAAUUUAAAAUGGAAAGCGGCGGACGGGUGAGUAACGCGUAGGCAACCUGCCCCAUACAAAGGGAUAGCAUUUGGAAACGAAUAUUAAUACCUUAUGAAACUUAACUAGUGCAUGCUAGGUAGGUCAAAGAUUUAUCGGUAUGGGAUGGGCCUGCGUCUGAUUAGCUAGUUGGUGAGGUAACGGCUCACCAAGGCGACGACCAGUAGCCGACCUGAGAGGGUGAACGGCCACAUUGGAACUGAGACACGGUCCAAACUCCUACGGGAGGCAGCAGGGGGGAAGAUUGCACAAUGGGGGAAACCCUGAUGCAGCAACGCCGCGUGAACGAUGAAGGCCUUUGGGUCGUAAAGUUCUGUUCUAGGUGAUGAAAACUGACAGUAACCUAGGAGAAAGCCCCGGCUAACUCCGUG